GAUGAACGCUAGCUACAGGCUUAACACAUGCAAGUCGAGGGGAAACGCCAUUGAAGCUUGCUUCGAUGGUCGUCGACCGGCGCACGGGUGAGUAACGCGUAUCCAACCUGCCUCUGACCAAGGGAUAACCCGUCGAAAGUCGGCCUAAUACCUUAUGCAGUCGUCGGAAGUCAUCUGAUGACGACGAAAGAUUUCAUCGGUGAGAGAUGGGGAUGCGUCUGAUUAGCUUGUUGGCGGGGUAACGGCCCACCAAGGCAACGAUCAGUAGGGGUUCUGAGAGGAAGGUCCCCCACAUUGGAACUGAGACACGGUCCAAACGACUACGGGAGGCAGCAGUGAGGAAUAUUGGGCAAUGGGCGAGAGCCUGAACCAGCCAAGUAGCGUGCAGGAUGACGGCCCUAUGGGUUGUAAACUGCUUUUAGGCGGGGAUAAAGUGAGGGACGUGUCCUUCAUUGCAGGUACCGCAUGAAUAAGGACCGGCUAAUUCCGUG
RNAcentral lists this ribosomal RNA (491 nucleotides) under uncultured bacterium. RNAcentral's name for it is "partial 16S ribosomal RNA". It matches the Rfam family "Bacterial small subunit ribosomal RNA", at positions 28 to 507 of the family's 1533-position model. The record is from RNAcentral.